Gallus gallus (chicken) is the source of this 841-nucleotide long non-coding RNA. Lineage: Eukaryota; Metazoa; Chordata; Aves; Galliformes; Phasianidae. The record is from Ensembl.
UGCAAAGAGGAUGGAGCCAGGCUCUCUUCAGUGGUGCCCAGUGUCAGGACAGGAGGAACAGGAGGUUCGCACAGAACAUCAGAAGGCAAUUCUGUGCUGUGAAGGUGAUGGAGCACUGCCACAGGUUGCUCAGAGAGGUGAUGGAGUCUCCUUGGAGAACUUCAAAAGCAGCCUGGAUACGGGCUUGGGCACCCUGCUUUAGCUGUUCCUGCUGGAGCAGGAUUGGGCCAGAUGGACCCAGAUGUCCCCACUGAACUCAGCCAUUCUGUGUGUCCAAUUCUGUAGUUUUCCUGCUUAAGCACAGCAUAAAUUAUACAGCAUUGGCCAAGUGUCCUUACUAAUUUCACUCUGCAAGCAAUCAUAAAACAUUUAGGUCUAAUAUGAAAUAUUCAAGUUCUUCUCUGAUUGUUUUUGAAUCCUUUAUGUAUAAUUCAGAGAAUUCACUACCACAGCAAUUAUUAACCAUGGAUAUAUUGGAUUACAAGAAAGCUGAAGAAGAGAGAGAAGGAUAUUGAAAACUGAAGGAGUUACCAAAACUAAAACAAAAACUUGUGAAUGAAGAAGUUUCCUUGGGUACUGAAAGCAAGAAUUAGUCCCUGGCUUUAAGGCCAGGAAGGACCUUGCUGAUUUUCGGAUAUAUGCUGUUACUGUAAAGCUUUGGGAAUUACUUAUUGGGGAUGGAAGUGUUUCAUUUUGGACAAAACCCAACAUUUGAAAAUGUUAUGGGUUUUUUUUCCUGCAGAAAAAAAAAAGAAAACCGGGAAUGGAAAGGAAACUAGCAGUGCAGAGGCAGGUAUUUAAAACGUCUGGGUAAAUUUAAGACUAAAUACAUAACAUACAU